UACGAGGGGGGCGAGCGUUGUUCGGAAUCACUGGGCGUAAAGAGUGCGUAGGCGGUUAUGAAAGUUAGAAGUGAAAGCCCCAGGCUCAACUUGGGAAUUGCUUUUAAAACUCCAUGACUCGAAUUCGGGAGAGGAUAGCGGAAUUCUCAGUGUAGCAGUGAAAUGCGUAGAUAUUGAGAGGAACACCGGUGGCGUAAGCGGCUAUCUGGACCGACAUUGACGCUGAGGCACGAAAGCGUGGGGAUCAAACAGG
This 253-nucleotide ribosomal RNA is filed under the name uncultured bacterium. Its description in RNAcentral is "partial 16S ribosomal RNA". It matches the Rfam family "Bacterial small subunit ribosomal RNA", at positions 524 to 776 of the family's 1533-position model. The record is from RNAcentral.